CAUGUAAUGGCUGGGCUUGAUUUGCAUCCUGUUCAGCUUUGCCCAUGGAAGUCUCAGGAAUGGGUAAGUGCUCCUGCUCCCACACAGUCUACAGACCUGGGUGCAAUGGUGAGAAAGACCUCAGUAAAGCAAAGGAAUUACGAAAGGGAGAGGGUAGAAGAUAAAGUACAUAAUAGUUUCCUGAAGCAGCAGAAUGAAAGAACUCUCUGUGGCAUGAAAAUUUACUGUUCGGAAUCACACCGUCAGUUCUCCUGGUUCUCAACCCUUCAGAGACAGACUGAAUUACACCACCAGCUUUCUUGGUUCUCCAGGAUGCAGAUGGCAUUAACAUGAGACUCCUUUACCUCCAUGACUGUGGAGGCAGCAGCUGAGGCUGUGGUGGGAGAAGAAUGACAAGAACUGAGCGUGGGCCACGGGCUCUUACCUUCAGCAACUUCAUCAGCUCUUCCAGCUGGACCAUCAGCUCCCGCCUGCUCUCCUGCAGGGCCGACAUCCUCUGCUCCAGUUCAUCCUUCCUUUGCCUAUCCAAGACGAAAGAUGGAUCUAAGGCCAGGUGAAAUGGAUUUCAGACCUGAUCCUGCUACUUACCAGUUAUGAGACGCUGAGCAAGUCAUUUAGCAUCCAAUACCUCAUAAAAUGGUGAUAAUGUCUGUUUUGCCUACUUCCUGGACUGUUCUGAGAAUAAUAGGGGAAGUUCCCAGGUCCAGUGAGCAACUCGGGGGUUGUAGCAUCUAGAGCAAAAGAUGCCCAGAAAAAAAACUAAAGCUGAAGGCCUCUUAAUUGAUCUCUACUUAGUGAGCAUAGCAGGAAAACCAAGUUGAAUGAGUUGGAGACUCCAUAGAGAUGGGCUUCUAGAAUAAAAUGGCACUGACUUAGCUGAAGGACUGAAAAAGGAAGCUGAACUUGCAACAUGUGAGAACAUUUUGUGCAAAGGAGACAACCUGGAGCUCCAGAGGACCUACACUCAGUGAAUGGGCUUGGUCCUACA
RNAcentral lists this long non-coding RNA (988 nucleotides) under Homo sapiens (human). RNAcentral describes it as "long non-coding RNA NONHSAT181455.1". The record is from RNAcentral. Lineage: Eukaryota; Metazoa; Chordata; Mammalia; Primates; Hominidae.